This 467-nucleotide ribosomal RNA is filed under the name uncultured bacterium. RNAcentral's name for it is "partial 16S ribosomal RNA". It matches the Rfam family "Bacterial small subunit ribosomal RNA", at positions 28 to 506 of the family's 1533-position model. The record is from RNAcentral.
GACGAACGCUGGCGGCGUGCUUAACACAUGCAAGUCGAACGGAAAGGCCCUGCUUUUGUGGGGUGCUCGAGUGGCGAACGGGUGAGUAACACGUGAGUAACCUGCCCUUGACUUUGGGAUAACUUCAGGAAACUGGGGCUAAUACCGGAUAGGAGCUCCUGCUGCAUGGUGGGGGUUGGAAAGUUUCGGCGGUUGGGGAUGGACUCGCGGCUUAUCAGCUUGUUGGUGGGGUAGUGGCUUACCAAGGCUUUGACGGGUAGCCGGCCUGAGAGGGUGACCGGCCACAUUGGGACUGAGAUACGGCCCAGACUCCUACGGGAGGCAGCAGUGGGGAAUAUUGCACAAUGGGCGGAAGCCUGAUGCAGCAACGCCGCGUGCGGGAGGACGGCCUUCGGGUUGUAAACCGCUUUCGCCUGUGACGAAGCGUGAGUGACGGUAAUGGGCAAAGAAGCACCGGCUAACUACGU